Molecule: ribosomal RNA, 602 nt
Filed under: uncultured bacterium
Lineage: Bacteria
Description: bacterial SSU rRNA
Rfam family: Bacterial small subunit ribosomal RNA
Source: RNAcentral
CAAAGGAGAGAUCCGGUACCGGCUGGGCAUGCGGCGCAUUAGCUAGUUGGCGGGGCAACGGCCCACCAAGGCGACGAUGCGUAGGGGUUCUGAGAGGAAGGUCCCCCACACUGGAACUGAGACACGGUCCAGACUCCUACGGGAGGCAGCAGUGAGGAAUAUUGGUCAAUGGGCGCAAGCCUGAACCAGCCAAGUCGCGUGAGGGAAGACGGCCCUACGGGUUGUAAACCUCUUUUGCCGGGGAGCAAGCCUGAGCACGUGUGCCCAGGCGGAGAGUACCCGGAGAAAAAGCAUCGGCUAACUCCGUGCCAGCAGCCGCGGUAAUACGGAGGAUGCGAGCGUUAUCCGGAUUUAUUGGGUUUAAAGGGUGCGCAGGCGGGCUGUUAAGCCGGCGGUAAAAAUUCAGGGCUCAACCCUGUCGAGCCGUCGGAACUGGCAGUCUUGAGUGGGCGAGAAGUAUGCGGAAUGCGUGGUGUAGCGGUGAAAUGCAUAGAUAUCACGCAGAACGCCGAUUGCGAAGGCAGCAUACCGGCGCCCAACUGACGCUGAGGCACGAAAGCGUGGGGAUCGAACAGGAUUAGAUACCCUGGUAGUCCACGCAG